GCGGAGGAAAAGAAACCAACAGGGAUUGCCUUAGUAACGGCGAGUGAAGCGGCAAAAGCUCAAAUUUGAAAUCUGGCACCUUCGGUGUCCGAGUUGUAAUUUGAAGAAGGUAACUUUGGAGUUGGCUCUUGUCUAUGUUCCUUGGAACAGGACGUCACAGAGGGUGAGAAUCCCGUGCGAUGAGAUGCCCAAUUCUAUGUAAAGUGCUUUCGAAGAGUCGAGUUGUUUGGGAAUGCAGCUCUAAGUGGGUGGUAAAUUCCAUCUAAAGCUAAAUAUUGGCGAGAGACCGAUAGCGAACAAGUACAGUGAUGGAAAGAUGAAAAGAACUUUGAAAAGAGAGUGAAAAAGUACGUGAAAUUGUUGAAAGGGAAGGGCUUGAGAUCAGACUUGGUAUUUUGCGAUCCUUUCCUUCUUGGUUGGGUUCCUCGCAGCUUACUGGGCCAGCAUCGGUUUGGAUGGUAGGAUAAUGACUAAGGAAUGUGGCUCUACUUCGGUGGAGUGUUAUAGCCUUGGUUGAUACUGCCUGUCUAGACCGAGGACUGCGUCUUUUGACUAGGAUGUUGGCAUAAUGAUCUUAAGCCACCCGUCU
RNAcentral lists this ribosomal RNA (589 nucleotides) under Debaryomyces hansenii. RNAcentral's name for it is "eukaryotic LSU rRNA". It matches the Rfam family "Eukaryotic large subunit ribosomal RNA", at positions 50 to 654 of the family's 3401-position model. Lineage: Eukaryota; Fungi; Ascomycota; Pichiomycetes; Serinales; Debaryomycetaceae. The record is from RNAcentral.